Leuconostoc sp. DORA_2 is the source of this 197-nucleotide non-coding RNA. Lineage: Bacteria; Bacillati; Bacillota; Bacilli; Lactobacillales; Lactobacillaceae. The record is from Rfam.
GAAGUCAGGUCAUAGAAGGUCAGAUCGUUUGUGUAUUUACAUCUGGAGUACAUGAAUUAAAUGAAUCAGGUUAGUGUCUUGUGUGAGCCUCGUUUUGUGGCGUUACAGGGCAUGAAAAUUAAAUGACAAGACUAUAAGCGUAGAUGUUGAUGUACCGGGUGGCUUGGACAGGGGUUCGACUCCCCUCGACUCCACUA